This 1315-nucleotide ribosomal RNA is filed under the name metagenome. RNAcentral's name for it is "bacterial LSU rRNA". It matches the Rfam family "Bacterial large subunit ribosomal RNA", at positions 1622 to 2925 of the family's 2925-position model. The record is from RNAcentral.
AAGCUUCAGUCUAUAGAUGACCGUACCGCAAACCGACACAGGUGGGCAGGAUGAGAAUUCUAAGGCGCUUGAGAGAACUCGGGUGAAGGAACUCGGCAAAUUAGCACCGUAACUUCGGGAGAAGGUGCGCCCUAGUAGAUUGUAAUGGUUUACCCAUGAAGGUCGAGAGGGUUGCAGUGAAAUGGUGGCUGCGACUGUUUAACAAAAACACAGCACUCUGCAAACACGAAAGUGGACGUAUAGGGUGUGACGCCUGCCCGGUGCCGGAAGGUUAAAUGAUGGGGUGCAAGCUCUUGAUUGAAGCCCCGGUAAACGGCGGCCGUAACAAUAACGGUCCUAAGGUAGCGAAAUUCCUUGUCGGGUAAGUUCCGUCCCGCACGAAUGGCGUAACGAUGGCCACACUGUCUCCACCCGAGACUCAGCGAAGUUGAAAUGUUUGUGAAGAUGCAAUCUACCCGCGGCUAGACGGAAAGACCCCGUGCACCUUUACUGUAGUUUUGCAUUGGACUGUGACAAGAUUUGUGUAGGAUAGGUGGGAGGCUAUGAAAUAGGGACGCUAGUUCUUAUGGAGCCGACGUUGAAAUACCACCCUAAUGUUGUUGCGGUUCUAACCUAGGCCCGUAAUCCGGGUUGGGGACAGUGCAUGAUAGGCAGUUUGACUGGGGCGGUCUCCUCCCAAAGCGUAACGGAGGAGCUCGAAGGUUACCUAGGUACGGUCGGACAUCGUACUGAUAGUGCAAUGGCAAAAGGUAGCUUGACUGCGAGACUGACAAGUCGAGCAGGUGCGAAAGCAGGACAUAGUGAUCCGGUGGUUCUGUAUGGAAGGGCCAUCGCUCAACGGACAAAAGGUACGCCGGGGAUAACAGGCUGAUACCGCCCAAGAGUUCACAUCGACGGCGGUGUUUGGCACCUCGAUGUCGGCUCAUCACAUCCUGGGGCUGUAGCCGGUCCCAAGGGUAUGGCUGUUCGCCAUUUAAAGUGGUACGUGAGCUGGGUUCAAAACGUCGUGAGACAGUUUGGUCCCUAUCUGCCGUGGGCGUUGGAGAUUUGACGGGGGCUGCUCCUAGUACGAGAGGACCGGAGUGGACGCACCUCUGGUGUACCGGUUGUCACGCCAGUGGCAUAGCCGGGUAGCUAAGUGCGGAAGAGAUAAGCGCUGAAAGCAUCUAAGCGCGAAACUUGCCUGAAGAUAAGAUCUCCCGGGGACUAGAUCCCCCUGAAGGGUCGUGGCAUACUACCACGUUGAUAGGCUGGGUGUGGAAGCGCAGUAAUGCGUGUAGCUAACCAGUACUAAUUGCCCGUGCGGCUUGAUUCU